This is a long non-coding RNA of Capsicum annuum, 2695 nucleotides long. RefSeq lists it as uncharacterized. NCBI's taxonomy places the organism in Eukaryota, Viridiplantae, Streptophyta, Magnoliopsida, Solanales, Solanaceae. The transcript has 4 exons. The record is from RefSeq and is a predicted model, not a curated record.
CAUUAAAAAAAAAAAAAAAAAAGACGCUUCAACCUAAAGCGUUAGUGAAGCGUCUCUUCCAUGUUUCUACCAUCACAAAAUAGGACGACAAUCUCUACCAUAACAGACAAUUUUCUCGCCUCCAACUCUCAAAAUUUGGACAAAUGCCAACAGGUCAAAUCUGCAAUAGGUUCCAUGGUAUGGUAGCAUCAAGUUCAUGGGGAAACAGAUGUCCACAGGCUUGAUCUGCAGUACUUAAUUCACUUCACUAAUUAGGAGGUGAUAGUCUGUAUAGCUGAAAGAUCUAGGCAUCACUUCUUGCACGAUCAUCUGUUCAACUUCCUAAGUAUUCUCAAUCUGUUAUGCUUUCAAAGUUCCCAGCAACAUCUGCCUGUCCAAAGCAAAUUGCACACGAUUCUAUUAAAGUCACUCCAGGGGAAGUGCUGCCGGUUAUGGUGAAUCAAGCUACUCAACCAACUAUUGAGGAUCAGGCUACUCAUAUAGUUGAUCAACCAGCACCUGCUGAUCUUAUGUUACCAACUGUUGAUAACCAAACAACACCGGCUAAACCUGUUCUAGCCAUUCUUGUUGAUGAUAACAAGGAUUCUAGUUCCAUAUCUGAAAAUAAGUCUUCUGAAAUGUUUGACAUCUCAAAUGCUGAAGCAAUAGGAGAUGCUACUGAUCCACCUAGCAUACCACAACCCACAUCACUCUGUGUCUAAUCCACAAAUGAUAGUAUAGGUGCAACACUUAUAGAAGAUAGUGCAGCUCAGAUAUCACUAGAACCACAAAGGCAUUAUAUGAUCACCAGAUAUAAGGAAAAAUCAACUGCUUUAACUUAUGUGUCUCUUGUUUCAAGCAAAGAACAGAUCAUGAGGGAACCAAAAUCAACAAAUGAAGCACUGAAGUCACCACAUUGGUUUGCAGCUAUGCAGGAUAAGAUAAAUGCUUUACACAAUAACAAAAUAUGGAUACUAGUACCUAAACAUGCAGGUAUGAACUUGGUUGGCUCCAAAUGGAUGUUUAAGACUAAACUGCAGGAAAAUGGAGCAAUCGACAGGCACAAAGCAAGGAUUGUUGCUAGGGGUUUCUCUCAACUUGAAGGAAUAGACUUUGAAGAAACAUUCAUUCCAGUGGUUAAGGCUACAACCAUUAGAGUGGUUUUGUCCGUAGCUGUUGCUUCAAAAUGGCAUAAGACAACUUGAUGUCAAAAAUGCAUUUCUACAUGGCCACAUGCAGGAUGAAGUAUUCAUGAUUCAACCUCCAGGAUUCAUUGACCCCAAGUAUCCAACUCAUGUAUGUUUGUUAAAGAAGGAAUUGUAUGGUCUUAAACAGGAACCUAGAGCAUGGUUUGACAGAUUCAGUAUGUAUUUACUUCACCUCGGUUUCAUUUGUAGCAAGGAAGAUCUCUCUUUGUUUACUUUAUAUGGUAACAGAGGGACUAUCUUAUUAUUACUAUAUGUGGAUGAUAUAAUUAUAACAUGAAGUGAUUGAAAGUAUGUCUCAAAGGUGGUCGCUAAACUUGGGAGAGAAUUUCCUAUGAAAGAUCUUGGUCCUUUACAUUUCUUUCUGGGAAUUGAGGUCAAGUACUUCUCAGGUGGACUGCACUUGAGUCAGGGGAAGUAUGCUACUGAGUUGCUUAAUAAGACUGAUAUGAUAUGGGAAAAAACAAUAAAUGCACCUUUUGCACAGAAACAUGACUUACAUAAAGCUGUUGGAAGCCCUAUUGAUGCAUCUUUGUAUAGAAGAAUUGUGGGAAGUCUUCAGUAUUUGACACUCAUAAGGCCUGACAUCACUCAUGCAGUAAAUCUAGCAAGUCAAUUCAUGCAGAGUCCAAAUAGUGAACAUCUUCAAGGUGUUAAAAGGAUCCUCAGGUACAUCAAAGGAACUUUACAUCAUGGGCUCAGAAUUAUCCCACAAUCACCCUGCAGGUUAUAUGGCUAUUCAGAUGCUGCUGAUUGGGGAGGCUGCACUACAACUAGGAGGUCAACUACAGGUUAUAACAUAUAUUGAGGUACAAAUUGUAUCUCUUGGACCUCGAAGAAACAAACCACAGUAGCAAGGUCCAGUGCCGAAGCUGAAUAUAGAGCCUUAGCUUCUACUACAGCUGAGAUGACAUGGAUCCUUUACCUUCUUCAUGACAUUGGAGUAUAUCUUAAGACAGUGCCUAUACUGUAGUGUGACAAUUUAAGUGCCUUAUACUUGACAGCUAGUCCAGUGAUGCAUGCCAGAACAAAGCAUAUAGAAAUGGACUACCAUUUUGUUCGAGAAAAAGUGGCGAGAGGACAGCUAGUCACACAGUUCGUAAAGUCUAGAGAUCAGCUAGCUGACAUUCAUACAAAGGCGUUGACAAAGCAGGCAUUUUCUAAUUUUAGAAGCAAGCUAGGAGUGAGUGUUCCACCACUCACUAGCUUGAGGGGAAGUGUUGAAGAUACUGAUCAAAUAAAAGAUAAGGAGAGUGUACGAUUCUGUUAGGGUAGCUGAUUCUGUUAGAGUUAUCCUAUGCUUUGCAUCUAUAAUUGUACUAGUAUUGUAGUAGUAGUAAACAUCUACUUGUAUAUGUAGUUGCCUAGUGAUAAAACACUAAGUCUUUAAUAAUGCCAUAACUAGGACUCUUGUAAGUAGUCUAGGACUCUACAACUACGUAGUAUUCAACUCCUAUAAGUAGGAGCAUGUACUCAACUCCUUAAUCAUCAUAAAUAUACUUUGAUUCUCU